GCAAUCAGGCUGCAGCUGGAGAGGACAAGGGCGGCUUCCGGGUGUUGGCGGGGGCAUUUGUCUCCUGCCGCAGCUGGGGCUGCAGAUCUAGUCUUCAGUUCACAGAGAACUGCCCCCCAACUGCUCCCCCGUACUCUGCUCCUACAGGCCCAGCUGCUGUGGCUGUGCGACCUGCAGGGACUGGCAGACCCGUAGCUAAGACGCCAGGAUUUCCUGGAAGCAGAGAAAUGGCCGAUUUCACUACUAGAUCUCAAGUGACUCUUGAAGAAAGGCAAGUUGGAUCUUGCUGUGUUCUCAUUUCACCCAAGACCUUUGGCUAGAUCAGAACAUAAAAAAUUCAUUUCAAAAAGUGAUACUGAGAAGAUAUGAGAAAUCUAGACAUGAGAAUUUACAAAUAAGAAAAGGCUGUAAAAGUUUGAAUGCAUCUAAGUUGCAGGAAGGAGGUUAUAAUGGACUUAACCAAUGUUUGUCGGUUACUCAGAGCAAAAUACUUCAAUGUAAUACAUGUGUGAAAGUCUUUAGGAAAUUUUCAAAUUCAAAUAGACUUAGGAGAAGACAUACUGGAGAGAAACCUUUCAAAUGUAAAGAAUGUGGCCAAUUCUUUCACAGGUUCUCACACCUAAGACAACAUGAGAUAAUUCAUACUGAAGAGAAACCCUACCAACAUGAAGAAUGUGGCAAAGAUUUUAAGCAGUCUUCAGGUCUUACUAUACAUGAGAGAAUUCAUACUAAAGAGAGACCCUACAAGUGUGAAGAAUGUGACAAAGCCUUUAAACAAUCUUCAAAACUGAAUAAACAUAAGAAAAUUUAUACUGGAGAUACAACCUACAAAUGUGAAGAAUGUGGCAAAGCCUUUUCCUAUUCCUCAACCGUUACUCAACAUAACAUAGUUCAUACUGAAGACAAACCCUACAAAUGUGAAGACUGUGGCAAAGCUUUGAAGUAGUCUUCAAACCUGACUAUGCGUAAGAUUAUUCAUAUGGGAGAGAAACCCUACAAAUGUGAUGAAUGUGGCAAAGCCUUUAGAAUAUCCUCAAAACUGAAAGAACAUAAAAGAAUUCAUACUUGAGAGAAACCCUAUAAAUAUGAAGAAUGUGGCAAAGCUUUUUACUGUUCCUCAGGCCUUACUCAACAUAACAUAGUUCAUACUGGAGACAAACCCUACAAAUAUAAAGAUUGUGGCAAAAUUUUUAAGUGGUUUUCAGACCUUACUAUACAUCAGAGAAUUCAUAGUGGAGAGAAACCCUAGAAAUGUGAAGAAUGUGGCAAAGCCUUUAAACAAUCCUCAAAACUGAAUGAACAUAUGAGAACUCAUACUGGAGAGAAAUCCUACAAAUGCGAAGAAUGUAGCAAAGCUUUUAAGCAACCUUCAGGCCUUACUCUACAUAAGAGAAUUCAUACUGGAGAGAACCCUUACAAAUUCGAAGAAUGUGGUAAAGCCUUUUAUUGGUUGUUAAGCUUUACUAAACAUAAUUGAUAGGGGAGAGAAACCCUACAAAUGUCAAGAAUGUGGCAAAGCUUUUAAGUGGUCUUCAAACCUUACUAUACACAAGAGAAUUCAUACGGGAGAGAAACCCUGCAAAUGUGAAGAAUGUGGCAAAGCUUGUAAGCAGUCUUUGGGCCUUACUAUACAAAAGAGAAUUCAUAAUGAAGAGAAACCCUACAAAUGUGAAGAAUGUGAUAAAGCCUUUUACUGGUCCUUAAGCUUUACUAAACGUAAGAUAGUUCAUACUGGAGAGAAGCACUACAAAUGUCAAGAAUACGUCAAAGCUUUUAAGCGUCUUCAAACCUUACUAUACAUAAGAGAAUUCAUACUGGAGAGAAACCCUACAAUUGUGAAAAAUGUGGCAAAGCCUUUUACUGUUCCUCACACCUUAUUCAACAUAACAUAGUUCAUACUGAAGAGAAACACUACAAAUGUCAAGAAUGUGGCAAAGCUUUUAAGAAGUCUUUAGACCUUAAUGUACAUAAGAUAAUUCAUAGUGGAGAGAAACCCUACAGAUAUGAAGAAUGUGGCAGUCUUUAAACAAUCCUCAAACCUGAAUGAACGUAAGAUAACUCAUAGUGGAGAGGAAUCCUACAAAUGUGAAGAAUGUGGCAAAGGCUUUAAACAAUCCUCAAACCUGAAUGAACAUAAGAUAACUCAUAGUGGAGAGGAAUCUUACAAAUGUGAAGAAUGUGGCAAAGGCUUUUACUGUUCCUCAAGCCUUACUAAGCAUAAGAUAGUUCAUACUGAAGAGAAACCAUACAAAUGUGAAGAAUGUGGCAAAGCUUUUAAGUGGUCCUCUGAACUUACUAUACAUCAGAGAAUUCAUACUGAAGAGAAACCCUGUAAAUGUGAAGAAUGUAUCAGAGUCUUUAAACACUCCUCAAAACCGAAUGAACAUAAGAGAAAUCAUACUGGAGAGAAACCCUACAAAUGUGAAGCAUGCGGCAAAGCUUUUUAAGCAGUCUUCAGGCCUUACUAUACAUAAGAGAAUUCAUACUGGAGAGGAAUCCAGAAAUGUGAAGAAUGUUGCAAAACCUUUUACUGGUCUUUAAGCUUUACUAAACAUAAGAGAGUUCAUAUUGGAGAGAUACCCUACAAAUGUCAAGAAUGUGGCAAAACUUUUUCUUGUUCCUCAAGUUUACUCAACAUAAGAGAGUUCAUACUGAAGAGAAAUCCCACAAAUGUAAAGAAUGUGGGAAAGCCUUUAACCAGUCCUUAAGCCUUACUAAACUUAUGAGAAUUCAUACUGGAAAAAAAUCAUACAAAUUGGAAGACUGUGGCAAAAUCUUUUAAGUAUUGCUCAAAUAUAUCCAGCCAUAAUUCAUACUAAAGAUUAUGCCUAUGAACCUAAGGAAGUUUGGCAAAGCUUAUGAAUACACCUCAAACUUUCCUAAGCCUUGGAGAAAUAUCAGUGAGAAACCUCAGAAAACUGAACAAUGUGGCAAGCCCUUUAAAUGGUUGUCACAUCUUACUGUAGGUAAAAUAAUUGAUAGUGGAGAAAAUCUCUACAAACAAAGAAUGUGUCAAAACUUCUAACAUGCUCAUACUUUAUGGCACAUAAAAGCGUUUAUACUUGAAAAAUUAUACAGAGUGUGGAAAAGCCAUUUCUAUCUGCUCACAUCAUAGUCAACAUCAGGAAGUUCAUACUUAAUAAAAUUAUUAUAAAUGUAAUUACUGUUCAAAGACCUUGGAAAAUAUAAACCCUUAAAAUAAAAAAGAGUAUUCUGGAGACAAACAUUACAAAUAUAAAGAGGGUUGUAAUACCUUUACUUGCCCUAUAUAAUGUACAGAUUUUACACUAGAAGAAAACUCUAAAGGAAUUACUCAAACUUGUUUGGCAUCAGAGAAUUUAUGUUGAAGGAAACCGUACAAAUGUAAUAAGUGUGGAAAAACAUUUGUUCAGAAACUACAGCUUACAAAACACCACACAGUUUAUAAUAAAAAAUAUUUUUGCAGAUGGAAUACAUAUGUAAAAAUAUUUAGUCAAAAUUAAGUCUUUGUAAACUUUAGAAAAUUCACGGUAGGGAGAACUAAGGCACUGGCACUUAAGACGUUACACUAAAUCAGAAUGUUCUGUAAAGAAAGUAAUCCAAAGCUAAAACUGUUGGAUAAUUUAUUUGUAUAUAAGUUUAAGAGGAGUGGAAGGUUAUUUUUUGGAGAGUUAAAAUUACAUUCAAGGUAUACGUUUUUCCUUGAAAAAAGUGUAAGUUUUUUGAAAAGCAAGUAGGUAAUUCAACUGUAAAAUUGCUUCAUGCUGUUCCUUUUUUCCUGUUGUUUGUGUAAAAGCAUGUCAUCAAUUUCUGUUGCAUCAGAAAUCUGAGAGAUUCCUUUCUUAUUAGGUAGGCAUCAUUCAUUAAUUUUUCCAUGGAAGAGUAAGGAUAUUAAAAUGUAAGAUGAUAAUGAAAAUCUGAUUGGAGAGGCUCUUUAUGGCUGACUUUUAACAUUGUUCAUGUGAUGCAUGAGUUAUGUGUUUAGAGUAAUAUUCUGCAUUAUAGUGAGAGGAAAACUUUGAGUUUUAGUAGUAAAUUGUUUUACCAAUUGUACUUUUAUGUAAUAAAAUGUAGGGAAUUUUAAAAUUCUUUUAUAAGACUGUGAUAACUUAACUUUUAAAUUAAACGAAAUGGUUUUAAACUUUUUAAGACGUGCAUUUAGUAAAGUGUUAUGUCACCAACUUUAACGUAUCCCACUGUAUUAAAGAUGUAGAUAAAAGAUGGUAACAUAGUAGAAUGACCUCUCUAGCAAUCUCUUUUGCCUGUGGCAUUAAACUGAAAAGUUUAACAGUAUUGUUUCAAUGGGUAAAAUGUACAUUUGUUUAACUUUUUAAAUUUUUGUAGGAACAUAAUAUUGUUUACCUAUUUAUGGCAUAUAUAGAAUAUUUUCAUACAGGCAUACAAUUUGUAAUCACAUCAGAGUAAAUGAGGUAUUCAUUACCUAAUGCAUUUUUUUUGUAUUACAGACAAUCCAUUUAAACAUUUUUAGUUAUCUAAAAAUGUACAAGUAAAUUAUUACUUGCUACAGAGGUUUUUUAUCGUCUUGAUAAUAAUUACAUAGUAGUAUAAUAAAUCUCACAUUUCUAAGUCCUGAAUGAAUAUUUUUAAAAAUUUGUCAUAUAUAUUUUGAACAAGUGGACUCUCUGCCUGUAAACUCAUGCAGACUGUUAGUUUUUACUUACAUGAUGCUAAAUAUACAAAUAUAUUACUCUUAAGAUAAACAUUAGGUGUAAGAAAAUUGUGGGGCAAGUAAUUGUGUGUGAGAGUACCUAUUUUCAGAAGACAAGCAAUAUUGGAACAAAAUAUCACUUUAAUAAAGUGGACAAAUCAUUUACUAGAAAACCAGAAACCUCAGUGAUUUUGAAUAAUAUCUGUAUUCUCUGCAUUUUAUUUAAUUAAUUACUGUGAAGUCUUAUGGACUGUGUUUCCGAAUCUUUCCAUGCAAAUUCUUUCUUUCAUUUGCCUGGUACUCAUGGUAGACUGAUUUUUUUUUUCAUAUUUUUUGUGUUUAUAAUUUAUUAAGUAUUCAUUAUGUGAGUUGCUCAGAUAUUCUAAGAAUUUUUAUAAAAUUUAGUAAUGCAUGCAAAAUAAUUUUUCAAUGUUAUUUCACAAUGAGUGUAUUAACUUAUAUUUCUUUUGUUGCUUUCUUUUUUCUUUUUUUUUUUUUUGAGAUGGUGUCUUGCUCUGUCACCCAGGCUAGAGUGCAAUGGUGGGAUCUCAGCUCACUACACCCUCCACCUGCUGGGUUCAAGCAAUUCUCUAGCCUCAGCCUCCUAAGUAGCUGGGACUACAGGCAUGUGCCACCAUGCCCAGCUAAUGUUUUUGUAUUUUUAGUAGAGACUGUGUUUCACUAUACUGGCCAGAGUGGCCUUGAACUCCUGACCUCGUGGUCCACACACCUCAUCCUCCCAAGGUGCUGGGAUUACAGGCGUGAGCCACUGCAUCUGACCAACUUAUAUUUCAUUUAGUUAGAACAUCCCAUUUUGUUAUUUUAAUUGGAGAAACCUGUGUAAGCUAAGUUUCCUUAUUGUUCCUUUUACUCUUUAUAAUUGACAUAGGUGAAUUUAUUCAUUCAGCCAAUUUGUUUAAGUAAAUACUGGGGAGGCUUCAUAAGUCACAAAGAUAUUUUGAUAUGUAAAUGUAGCAAACACAAUGCUUGCUGUAAUAGAGGCACCAUUAUUGGCCAUAAAUAUUUCUGCUGGAGUUAGUUUGUAGCUCCAAGUAAAGAUAAAGAAAUAUGCGUGGUGAAGAAAUAAAAUCGAUUCUGUAUGUGGAGAGGACGUUGUUCUUAUGCUGCAAAACUGACUCUUUCUGAAUUUAAAGAGACAUUCUUCUUAUUUUCUGAUUAUCUUUAGUUUUGUUUUUGUGUCUACUUAUGUUUAUCCCAACUGUGUAUGCAUCACAGCCCUUCUUUUUCUUCUUUGUGUUAUGGCUACAUUUUUAUUGCUGUUUGUUUUGUGCCAUGUCAUUUCACACAGUACUUUGUAGGUUCUGAUGAGAAGUUUGUCAAUGUAACUUUCAGAUCCGUUAAUUGAGAUAAAAGGCAUCCGGUGUUCACAGGUGAGAGGAAUAAAUCAGUCAGAAUUUCUUGUCUUUGUAAAACCAAACUUUUAUUAAAUUUUAACACAGUCUGUGUGUGGUGGCUCACGCCUGUAAUCCCAGCACUUUGGGAGGCUGAGGUGGGAGAAUCACUAAGUCAAGAGAUUGAGACCUUCCUGGCCAAUAUGGUGAAACCCCAUCUCUACUAAAAAUACAAAAAUUAGCUGGGCAUGGUGGCAUGCACCUGUUGACCUAGCCAUUCAGGAGGCUGAGGCAGGAGAAUCGCUUGAACCCAGGAGGCAGAGGUUGCAGUGAGCUGAGAUCGCACCACUGCAUUCCAGCCUGAUGACAGAGCGAGACUUCAUCUCAAAAAAAAACAAAAUUAACACAAUGUGUGGAAAAUAUAAAAUUAGUUAGAAGAUAUGUCUUAGAAAUUAAACUUUUAGAAGAGUUAAUGGUAAGUGGAGAAUGUUAAAUUUUUUAUUACAUACUUACAGCUCAACUUAAGUUUUCAUUCAGAAUCUUUUAUUUUGGUGUGAAUGUUAAAUAUUCAAAAAUAAUAGAAUGACACCUGUGGAUUUCACAUGUGAAGUAAUCUUUUUCAUAUUAACAUUAAAAUCUUGAGGAAUUUCUCACACUUGUA
RNAcentral lists this long non-coding RNA (6661 nucleotides) under Homo sapiens (human). Its description in RNAcentral is "non-protein coding lnc-ZNF33B-7:1". Lineage: Eukaryota; Metazoa; Chordata; Mammalia; Primates; Hominidae. The record is from RNAcentral.